RNAcentral lists this ribosomal RNA (468 nucleotides) under uncultured bacterium. RNAcentral describes it as "partial 16S ribosomal RNA". It matches the Rfam family "Bacterial small subunit ribosomal RNA", at positions 28 to 507 of the family's 1533-position model. The record is from RNAcentral.
GACGAACGCUGGCGGCGUGCUUAACACAUGCAAGUCGAACGGAAAGGCCCUGCUUUUGUGGGGUGCUCGAGUGGCGAACGGGUGAGUAACACGUGAGUAACCUGCCCUUGACUUUGGGAUAACUUCAGGAAACUGGGGCUAAUACCGGAUAGGAGCUCCUGCUGCAUGGUGGGGGUUGGAAAGUUUCGGCGGUUGGGGAUGGACUCGCGGCUUAUCAGCUUGUUGGUGGGGUAGUGGCUUACCAAGGCUUUGACGGGUAGCCGGCCUGAGAGGGUGACCGGCCACAUUGGGACUGAGGUACGGCCCAGACUCCUACGGGAGGCAGCAGUGGGGAAUAUUGCACAAUGGGCGGAAGCCUGAUGCAGCAACGCCGCGUGCGGGAAGACGGCCUUCGGGUUGUAAACCGCAUUCGCCUGUGACGAAGCGUGAGUGACGGUAAUGGGUAAAGAAGCACCGGCUAACUACGUG